This 402-nucleotide ribosomal RNA is filed under the name Triticum aestivum (bread wheat). Its description in RNAcentral is "partial small subunit ribosomal RNA". Lineage: Eukaryota; Viridiplantae; Streptophyta; Magnoliopsida; Poales; Poaceae. The record is from RNAcentral.
AUGGAUGCGGCUGGCUUGACGCGGGGCGCGGUGGCCACCAUAGCGGAGAGCAAGGCGUGGCACACGGCGCCGGUGGUGAUGCAGGUAGUGGACACCGUGAGGAUCCCGCCGCUGGCGGUCCGCCACGGCAGAGUUGAGCGCUACUCGCUGGUGCUCUACGACGGCCUGCACACAAUGGAGAUCAAGCUCAUCACCCCCCUAGGGCAUCUCGUCAGGGACGGCCGCGUCCGCCGGGGCUCCGUCGUGCGCCUCCUCCGGUACUGCACCAUCUUCGAGCCCUUGAUUUUCAAGCUGGAAGUUCUGCAAGCCGAGGCUGCGCUGAAUGGAAACCCCAUACCCUACAAGCACGGGCCUCGAUGCAACGCCGGUGAUAACGCAGGGCCAAGUGGUGGAUCCAGCUAA